UUGAUUUGUUGGUAGGUGAGCGAAGAACGGCGGUCGGAGGAGAAGCGGCGGCACACGCGAUAGUCGUAAAAUGUUAGGAUAACAAAGCGCGUGUAAGAUCGGAAACCGUAGCCGCGACUAACUCGGUUCCUUCGUUGUUAUCCUUCGUGACUUUACUCUAUGAGGAAAUUUUUAUACCUCCGGAUAAACGCGCGAAGAAAUUCACCCGAACCCCGUAACGGAUUAAAUUUUCAGAGCGGAUGGACGGAUAGGAUAGGAACCAGCGUCCGAUUUCUUUCGGGAUAAAACGCUCGUUUCUUUUCGGUACGUCUGCGUCUGAAUUUUGAAAAAAUUAAAAGCUGGAACGCCGCAUAUCGUGUGUGUGUUCGUAUUCCGAUGGCAAAACGAAAGAAAAAAAAAAAAAAAAAAAAAAAAAACUAGGAAUGAAAAAAGCGCGGGCUCGUUAAUUAAUAAAAGUGCAGGUGCUCCGACUGGUUUCCCCCGGACAAAGAGUCGUUGUGAACCAGAUACGUAUUACAAUACGUGUAUUGCAUGACGUAUCAAAGUCAAGUAUAGAUCAAAGCCCUAGACUGAUGGAGCAAAUCGCGCAACGUAUCAUACGUACGUACAUACGUUAACGGACGAGGAUCAAUGUUGCGCGAUCUUCGGGUGGGGAUAAAAAAUUAAAACCUGAAGGGACACGGGCGUCGUUACGUCGUACGAACGAUAACGUCAUCCUCGUUGUUACUACCCCCCCGUCAAUUUUCUCUGUUUCGUUUGAAUUUUUUUUUCCCUCGCAUUGUAUCGCCGCAUAUCUUCUGCCAGGUAAGCCAGUUUCGUUCCACGGCGAUUCUAAUAUCGAGAUCGAAUUGAUGGCCACCAUAAAUUUCGUUCUUUCGUCCCGCACAAUAGCUGCCUAGAGAGGGACGGUUCUUUCGCGGUCCUGGGCAACAAUCCUGCAGUGUCCCAGAUACCCGCCGGUACAGGACCUCGAAAAAAUUCCUCGUCCACGGAUUUGAUGAUUUUUCGAAAAUUCCUCACGCUCGUUCGUCCGUCGGAGCUGACCCUGAGGCUGGACUUAAAAGUUGCGAUAAACGAAUGAGAUAAAAUGAUAAUUGAAAAUUAUCGGGAUCGACCGGUUCGGACAAACAAGAUUCGGAUCGUAGUGAAUUCGAAAGAAUCGUGUGUAUUAAGCGCAUUAUAAAGCGAUAUUUUAUUUUGAAUAUCAGAUUACGAUGUUCGCCGAAGGUUCGGAGGCCCCCGAGGCUGAUAAAAUUUCGACCGUCCGGCGAAAUUGCGCCAUCGGACACACAAUACCUGGCCGCGCACCGUAUUUUCCGCGUUAAUAUAACGAACAGAUCCCAGAGAACCGUGAACGUGCUGCUGUACGUGGUCCAGCUGACUGACGCAAUGAUUCAUACUACCGUCCGAAUUUCGAUGCUCUCGCCGCAGAUCUCUUCGAUAAAAAGAUGAGAAGAAGAAGAA
Molecule: long non-coding RNA, 1464 nt
Organism: Athalia rosae (coleseed sawfly)
Lineage: Eukaryota; Metazoa; Arthropoda; Insecta; Hymenoptera; Athaliidae
Exons: 2
Source: RefSeq, a predicted model, not a curated record